This 253-nucleotide ribosomal RNA is filed under the name uncultured bacterium. RNAcentral describes it as "partial 16S ribosomal RNA". It matches the Rfam family "Bacterial small subunit ribosomal RNA", at positions 524 to 776 of the family's 1533-position model. The record is from RNAcentral.
UACGUAGGUGGCAAGCGUUGUCCGGAUUUACUGGGCGUAAAGGGCGUGCAGGCGGUUUUUUAAGUCUAGGGUGAAAGCUCCCGGCUCAACUGGGAGAGGUCCUUGGAUACUGGAAAACUUGAGGGAUGCAGAGGAAAGUGGAAUUCCCGGUGUAGUGGUGAUAUGCGUAGAUAUCGGGAGGAACACCAGUGGCGAAGGCGGCUUUCUGGGCAUUUCCUGACGCUGAGGCGCGAAAGCGUGGGGAGCAAACGGG